GAUGAACGCUGGCGGCGUGCCUAAUACAUGCAAGUCGAGCGAACAGACGAGGAGCUUGCUCCUCUGACGUUAGCGGCGGACGGGUGAGUAACACGUGGAUAACCUACCUAUAAGACUGGGAUAACUUCGGGAAACCGGAGCUAAUACCGGAUAAUAUAUUGAACCGCAUGGUUCAAUAGUGAAAGACGGUUUUGCUGUCACUUAUAGAUUGAUCCGCGCCGCAUUAGCUAGUUGGUAAGGUAACGGCUUACCAAGGCAACGAUGCGUAGCCGACCUGAGAGGGUGAUCGGCCACACUGGAACUGAGACACGGUCCAGACUCCUACGGGAGGCAGCAGUAGGGAAUCUUCGGCAAUGGGCGGAAGCCUGACGGAGCAACGCCGCGUGAGUGAUGAAGGUCUUCGGAUCGUAAAACUCUGUUAGUAGGGAAGAACAAAUGUGUAAGUAACUAUGCACGUCUUGACGGUACCUAAUCAGAAAGCCACGGCUAACUACGUG
Molecule: ribosomal RNA, 497 nt
Filed under: uncultured bacterium
Lineage: Bacteria
Description: partial 16S ribosomal RNA
Rfam family: Bacterial small subunit ribosomal RNA
Source: RNAcentral